RNAcentral lists this ribosomal RNA (450 nucleotides) under uncultured bacterium. RNAcentral's name for it is "bacterial SSU rRNA". It matches the Rfam family "Bacterial small subunit ribosomal RNA", at positions 335 to 798 of the family's 1533-position model. The record is from RNAcentral.
ACUCCUACGGGAGGCAGCAGUGGGGAAUAUUGCACAAUGGGCGCAAGCCUGAUGCAGCAACGCCGUGUGAGUGAAGAAGGUUUUCGGAUCGUAAAACUCUGUCCUAAGGGAAGAAACAAAUGACGGUACCUUAGGAGGAAGCCCCGGCUAACUACGUGCCAGCAGCCGCGGUAAUACGUAGGGGCAAGCGUUAUCCGGAAUCACUGGGGCGUAAAGGGUGCGUAGGCGGCUUAGCAAGCCAGGGGUGAAAGGCAUUGGCUCAACCAAUGUAAGCCUUUGGAACUGUUAAGCUUGAGUGCAGGAGAGGUAAGUGGAAUUCCUAGUGUAGAGGUGAAAUUCGUAGAUAUUAGGAGGAACACCAGUGGCGAAGGCGACUUACUGGACUGUAACUGACGCUGAUGCACGAAAGCGUGGGUAGCGAACAGGAUUAGAUACUCUGGUAGCGACUGA